UGGGGAAUUUUGGACAAUGGGCGAAAGCCUGAUCCAGCAAUGCCGCGUGUGUGAAGAAGGCCUUCGGGUUGUAAAGCACUUUUGUCCGGAAAGAAAUCCUUGGCUCUAAUACAGUCGGGGGAUGACGGUACCGGAAGAAUAAGCACCGGCUAACUACGUGCCAGCAGCCGCGGUAAUACGUAGGGUGCAAGCGUUAAUCGGAAUUACUGGGCGUAAAGCGUGCGCAGGCGGUUUGCUAAGACCGAUGUGAAAUCCCCGGGCUCAACCUGGGAACUGCAUUGGUGACUGGCAGGCUAGAGUAUGGCAGAGGGGGGUAGAAUUCCACGUGUAGCAGUGAAAUGCGUAGAGAUGUGGAGGAAUACCGAUGGCGAAGGCAGCCCCUGGGCAAUACUGACGCUCAUGCACGAAAGCGUGGGGAGCAAACAGGAUUAGAUACCCUGGUAGUCCACGCCCUAAACGAUGUCAACUAGUUGUUGGGGAUUCAUUUCCUUAGUAACGUAGCUAACGCGUGAAGUUGACCGCCUGGGGAGUACGGUCGCAAGAUUAAAACUUCAAAUGAAUUGACGGGGUCAUAGCUG
This 578-nucleotide ribosomal RNA is filed under the name uncultured bacterium. Its description in RNAcentral is "partial 16S ribosomal RNA". It matches the Rfam family "Bacterial small subunit ribosomal RNA", at positions 355 to 932 of the family's 1533-position model. The record is from RNAcentral.